Molecule: ribosomal RNA, 1152 nt
Filed under: Bifidobacterium bifidum
Lineage: Bacteria; Bacillati; Actinomycetota; Actinomycetes; Bifidobacteriales; Bifidobacteriaceae
Description: bacterial LSU rRNA
Rfam family: Bacterial large subunit ribosomal RNA
Source: RNAcentral
GGCACAGGCCAGGGGGUAGCGACUGUUUACCAAAAACACAGGAGCGUGCGAAGGCGCAAGCCGCUGUAUACGCUCUGACGCCUGCCCGGUGCCGGAAGGUUAAGAGGAUCCGUCAGCUUUCUGCGAAGCGGUGAAUUCAAGCCCCGGUAAACGGCGGUGGUAACUAUAACCAUCCUAAGGUAGCGAAAUUCCUUGUCGGGUAAGUUCCGACCUGCACGAAUGGCGUAACGACUUCCCCACUGUCUCGACCAGGAGCUCGGCGAAAUUGCAGUACGAGUAAAGAUGCUCGUUAAGCGCAGAAGGACGAAAAGACCCCGGGACCUUUACUAUACCUUGGUAUUGGCAUUAGGCGCGGAUUGUGUAGCAUAGGCGGGAGGCUUCGAGGCGGGUGCGCCAGCAUCCGCGGAGCCGCAAGGUGAAAUACCGCUCUGUUCUCGUUUGAUGUCUAACCUCGAACAGUCAUCCUGUUCAGGGACAGUGCCUGGCGGGUAGUUCAACUGGGGCGGUUGCCUCCCAAAGAGUAACGGAGGCGCUCAAAGGUCCGCUCGGCCCGGUUGGCAAUCGGGUGUCGAGUGUAAUCGCACAAGCGGGCUUGACUGCGAGAUCGACGGAUCGAGCAGGGACGAAAGUCGGAGAUAGUGAUCCGGUGCCGGCGCACGGGCGCGGCAUCGCUCAACGGAUAAAAGGUACCCCGGGGAUAACAGGCUGAUCAUUCCCAAGAGUCCAUAUCGACGGGAUGGUUUGGCACCUCGAUGUCGGCUCGUCGCAUCCUGGGGCUGGAGCAGGUCCCAAGGGUUCGGCUGUUCGCCGAUCAAAGCGGCACGCGAGCUGGGUUCAGAACGUCGUGAGACAGUUUGGUCUCUAUCCUCUGCGCUCGUUGGAAUCUUGAGGAGGCCUGCCCAUAGUACGAGAGGACCUGGGUGGACGAACCUCUGGUAUGCCGGUCGUCACGCCAGUGGCGCGGCCGGUUGGCUACGUUCGGAAGGGAUAACCGCUGAAAGCAUCUAAGCGGGAAGCCUUCUCCAAGAUAAGGAUUCCAUGCGGCCCCGAGCCGCUGAAGACCCCAUGCAGAACACGUGGUUGAUAGGCCGGACGUGGAAGCCCCGCGAGGGGUGGAGCCGACCGGUACUAAUGGUCGAGAGGCAACCCACA